Molecule: ribosomal RNA, 497 nt
Filed under: uncultured bacterium
Lineage: Bacteria
Description: partial 16S ribosomal RNA
Rfam family: Bacterial small subunit ribosomal RNA
Source: RNAcentral
GAUGAACGCUGGCGGCGUGCCUAAUACAUGCAAGUCGAGCGAACAGAUGAGGAGCUUGCUCCUCUGACGUUAGCGGCGGACGGGUGAGUAACACGUGGAUAACCUACCUAUAAGACUGGGAUAACUUCGGGAAACCGGAGCUAAUACCGGAUAAUAUAUUGAACCGCAUGGUUCAAUAGUGAAAGACGGUUUUGCGGUCACUUAUAGAUGGAUCCGCGCCGCAUUAGCUAGUUGGUAAGGUAACGGCUUACCAAGGCAACGAUGCGUAGCCGACCUGAGAGGGUGAUCGGCCACACUGGAACUGAGACACCGUCCAGACUCCUACGGGAGGCAGCAGUAGCGAAUCUUCCGCAAUGGGCGAAAGCCUGACGGAGCAACGCCGCGUGAGUGAUGAAGGUCUUCGGAUCGUAAAACUCUGUUAUUAGGGAAGAACAAAUGUGUAAGUAACUAUGCACGUCUUGACGGUACCUAAUCAGAAAGCCACGGCUAACUACGUG